GACGAACGCUGGCGGCGUGCCUAAUACAUGCAAGUCGAACGCAGGGGGGACGGGUGAGUAACACGUGGGUAACCUCCCAUCAGAGGGGAUAACACUUGGAAACAGGUGCUAAACCGAUACUGAUAGAUGGACCAGCGGUGCAUUAGCCAGUUGGUGGGGUAACGGCUCACCAAGGCCACGAUCCAUAGCCGACCUAGGAGGAUGAUCGGCCAAACUGGGACUGAGACACGGCCCAGACUCCUACGGGAGGCAGCAGUAGGGAAUCUUCGGCAAUGGGCGAAAGUCUGACCGAGCAACGCCGCGUGAGUGAAGAAGGUUUUCGGAUUGUAAAGCUCUGUCGUUAGGGAGGCGGUAUCGAACCAGAAAGCCACGGCUAACUACGUGCCAGCAGCCGCGGUAAUUC
This 403-nucleotide ribosomal RNA is filed under the name uncultured bacterium. RNAcentral's name for it is "partial 16S ribosomal RNA". It matches the Rfam family "Bacterial small subunit ribosomal RNA", at positions 28 to 526 of the family's 1533-position model. The record is from RNAcentral.